CUGAAAGCAGAGCAUUAAUUAUUUUAUUAAUUUCUUCUUUUUACAUUAUGGGAAACAUUCAUCUAUUUACAAUUAUUGUUUUGUCCACACACAAUCUAGGUAAAUAAGCCUAUGAAAUUCCAAUUCAUAAAGCCAUAAAAAUGUUCCCCACCCCUCCAUCUGAAGGCUUUCAAAUGAAUCUUGUUUUUCCAAACCAAAAUAAUUUUUAAAAAUUACAUUUGGGAAUUCAGAUAUGCUAGUGAUUUACACUCCAGUUAUUUAAAAUAUGCAUCUAGACAUGUUUUAAAAAAGAAAUGGUAAAUUCACAAGGAUAAGGCUUAAAUUAAAGUGGUAAUGCACAGUAAAACAUUAAGGAAACAUCUAUAAAUAACAGAAAUAUAUUACAAAUAAAUUAGUUCUAUUUACCAUUUCAAAUAUUAAAAAUCUUUAAUCCAUUUCUUCAUCUCUCUUUACAAAAAGGUUAUGUGAAUUGUAUGGAAACAUCUGCAAAAAAUAUAAUAAAUACUUAACUUCUUUGAACGUUUUUUGAUGUGGGAGACAAACUUCUUUUGUAAUCCCCCCCCCAAGAAAAUGCCUUUAUACCAAAGUUAAACAAAAUAAGUAAUUUUUCAGGGUACAUACAUUUUCCAUUAUGAACUAAAAAACAUUUCUACAAAUUACAUCAAAAAGAACAAUGUAACAAAGGUUAUGCUCAUGGAUGUCAGUUUAAGGGGGCAAGUGGUUAACAAGCAGCUUUAUGAGGGGUCAUGUUUUAACAUCAAUAAUUAGCUUUUUAUAAAGUGUUUGUACAAUUUGUGUUUUUAAGGAAGGCAAAGGUCACGAUGCCUGUAGGCAUUCAGCUAAAAGAUUUAAAAUUCUUACCAAAAAUAGCUUAUGAAUAUACAAAUACCAUUCACAUAGACAAGAUAAAUAGGCCUUUUCUUGUCUCUCUUUAAAAUAUCCUGGGCUAAACCAGUUUCCAAAGAAAAUAUCAUAGGAUGAUCUUGAAUUGUAUUAGAAAUCUAUUUCUUAAUCCAAAUCUUAUCUCUACCUCAGGGCACAGAGCUGUAGUUGGGAACACGGGUCUUCAAAUGGAUGCUGCUUCCUUUACAUUAAUCUGGGAGUUCCAAGUCAUUUUCAGGAUGGAAUGGACCAUAGGCUACCCAAAGUGGCAGUUGGCCUUACUUGACUCAAACUUUGUAUGACCUUCCAUUGUUGCUACAAAGUAAAGGAAAGGUGUAUUCUUCUUAAAAUCAGCAAUAUUGGAAGCUCAAAAUCUCCAUAUGCUCCAAUUUUACAAAGCACCCAAGGUGCUCUGUACACCCUAGUUAAAAGUUGGUUGGUUGGUUUUUAAAUGAGUUAGUAGCCCUUUUCUGGUAAACCACAGCAGUAAACAUUUGUGCCCUGUUUAUAAAGAUAGCUCAAAGCAUCAAUGGCUCUGAGAGGUAGCGAAUUCUCUAGUGGUUUUAGAAUAUGUCCAUGAAAAUAUUGUUGCCAGAACCCAUCACCUCUCUUAAUUUCAUAAAUAAAAUUAAAUUAGCACCUGGCUAUGAGAGUGUAUUUUUUAAAAAGUUUCUCUGGUGCAAGCAUAUUUGAUGUAUGCUUUUAAAAGUCUUUCAUUUUUUAAUGGUAAUUUCUAAUGCUUUAGGGUGGGAGCAGGACAUAAAAUGCCAGUGAUACUUUAAGAUCACCACAUUCUAAAUGUUUAAACUGCUAAGAGUAAGGGCAUUUAAAGAUAACUUCAGCUAGAUGCAAAGUGCAUACUGCCCAUCCAUCACAGCUCAAAAUGGAAAGCAACAUUCUCUGCCAAAAGCCUGGGUUUCUUUCAGUGUUUAUGAAUCAUGACUUUCCCCCCCCCCUUGGAUGCUGAACCUCGUGGAUUGCAGAUCAAAUUUCUUCUCUCACUACCUGGGACCUCAAGAUGAGUGGCAGCUCUUUGCAACGAGGCAGCAUGUCUAUUGGGAUAGGAAACUUAUUUGAUCGGUUUGACAUAAGACAAAAACCCUUAUGCUGGGGAAUGAUAGGACUCGGUGCAGUCGAGAGAAGACUAAAGGAGAAAAUAUGUCUGCAGUGUCAACUACUGGGUUAAAACAGACAAAUGUGUAGCAUUCAAAAGGAUGAUAGGAAAAUCCAAACUUUUCUCUGACAACAGUCUGGCUGCCAUUUACAGCACUUCACAAGCAGAUGUGUACUUAUAUAUGUGUAAUUAGGUAGGCCCCCCAGGAUGGACACUAACAAAUGAACAGAACCAACAGUUUCCCCUUUAAAGACCCCCACCACCACCACAAUAUAAUAUACAUAGUACAAGAAAAGUUGAUAAAACAUUUCAGGUCUAAAUUUUCUUAAUAAUAGGACAAAAAAAAAAUCUCUUUUGUAAAAGUAUCUUAAACUAUCAGCGCUUCCUUUGCCUGGCCUUUCUUCACGUUAUUGCCUUUCAGAAUAGAUUAAUUUCCCUGAAAGAUCGAAUUUACAAUCUUCUGCUGAUUGAGACAUCUGAAGCAGGCAUUGAUGAGACAACAGUGAGGCAGUUUGUGCAGCUGUGAGUGGAGCAGGUACCCCAGCACCCGCAGAUUUCCCUUCCCCCGUUCCCACUACACAUCCAGGUCCCCCACCGCCAGCCCAUCUCCGAUCCCUCUCGGUUUGUCACUCACUGAUUCCGAGAGAUCGCGUGAUUUCUGAGGUUGGAAAUAAAGUGCUCCAUCUGCUUUACAAAAUAAUAACCGUUUAGGGGAAAUAAAGGGACUCGGAGCCCUAGUUUCUUUCACGUGGAAGACGGUUAAGUCCCAAAGGAUCACCCUGUGAUAGUGGAUUUCUGAAAUACUCUAUGGUUUGAUAUUGCUGAGCUCUAGGGACAGACUAGCUGGAGAGAACUGAGGAUGGUGGGGGACCUAACAGGGCCAUUUCUACACAGGUGGGCUUGGUUUUGCCACGAAAAGAAAGGGUUGGCUAUCCGGAUGAGGCAGGGUGACGCAUCAGUACAGGUGGCGAAGCUCGGUGAAGAACAUGGGCAAACGGGUCCGGGCAGCAGAGGUUACUGGGGGACGGCUCCUGCAAGAUCGACAACUACACCGCGACAGUGGAAGUCACUGAGCUCAGAAACAGACGGGCUCGGAGGGCGAGGGGGGGAGGGAGGAGGAGGAGGGGAGGACAGAUACUUGGUGGCGACGCCGCGGGCUGCGCGCGGCGCGGCCCGGCGCCUCAGAGCCGGGUCUGCGCCUCGGGGAUGUAGAUCUCGAUGCUCUCGGCGCUCUCGGUGGCCGAGUUCUGGCGGACGGACGCGGCGCGCUUGGCGGCCAUCAGGCGCUUGCGGGCCUCCUGGCGCUGCGAGCUCUCCAGCGAGCGCUCCCGGAUCAGCGGCGCGGGGCCCUUCGCCGGCUUCUUUGGCACUGGAGGAGGGGCCCUUCUCUCCU
RNAcentral lists this long non-coding RNA (3389 nucleotides) under Equus asinus (donkey). Its description in RNAcentral is "lncRNA (ENSEASG00005024639.1)". Lineage: Eukaryota; Metazoa; Chordata; Mammalia; Perissodactyla; Equidae. The record is from RNAcentral.